GUGGGGAAUAUUGGACAAUGGGCGCAAGCCUGAUCCAGCAAUGCCGCGUGAGUGAUGAAGGCCUUAGGGUUGUAAAACUCUUUCAGCAGGGAAGAUAAUGACGGUACCUGCAGAAGAAGCUCCGGCUAACUCCGUGCCAGCAGCCGCGGUAAUACGGAGGGAGCUAGCGUUGUUCGGAAUUACUGGGCGUAAAGCGCGCGUAGGCGGCCUGACAAGUUGGGGGUGAAAGCCCGAGGCUUAACCUCGGAACUGCCCUCAAAACUAUCAGGCUAGAGUCCGGGAGAGGCAGGCGGAAUUCCUAGUGUAGAGGUGAAAUUCGUAGAUAUUAGGAGGAACACCAGUGGCGAAGGCGGCCUGCUGGACCGGUACUGACGCUGAGGUGCGAAAGCGUGGGGAGCAAACAGG
Molecule: ribosomal RNA, 405 nt
Filed under: uncultured bacterium
Lineage: Bacteria
Description: bacterial SSU rRNA
Rfam family: Bacterial small subunit ribosomal RNA
Source: RNAcentral